Non-coding RNA from Podarcis lilfordi (Lilford's wall lizard), 105 nucleotides. The record is from the annotation of a GenBank genome assembly. Lineage: Eukaryota; Metazoa; Chordata; Lepidosauria; Squamata; Lacertidae.
GUGCUCGCUUCGGCAGCACAUAUACUAAAAUUGGAACGAUACAGAGAAGAUUAGCAUGGCCCUAGAAAAUUUUUUUAAAAAAUUAAAAAAAGAAAGAACGUUCCU